RNAcentral lists this unclassified non-coding RNA (401 nucleotides) under Hevea brasiliensis (rubber tree). The record is from RNAcentral. Lineage: Eukaryota; Viridiplantae; Streptophyta; Magnoliopsida; Malpighiales; Euphorbiaceae.
UUUUUGGAAUCUGGGGAUGAAAGGAAGCAACUUAAGGAGCCAAGAAAGACAUCUUGCUUGUUUGGUCAUUGGUGACCAAGAAAGUGAAGGAAAGAUUGAGAAACAAAAAAGAAAGAAGAUAAAAGUGGAAAUAUUUUAUGAAAUGGGAAGAAAAAUCUGUGAUUUGUGAUGCACAUUGCCAAGAAAGUGCUGUGAUACCACUUGAUGGAGUCUUGAAUACUUAUUCAACCUGAAUCUGUUUGGGUACCCUAUCCCAUUGUACCUUUUUAUAGCUUUUACUACACACCAGAGAUUAUUCAUAGCUUCAUACAUAGUUGCAUACUACAAGUUCUGUAUCUUCAUCACACAAUAAAGAUCAAUAGCUUCCAAUAAACCAACAUACCGGGGCAUGAGUGUUUAAG